UACGGAGGGUGCGAGCGUUGUCCGGAAUCAUUGGGCGUAAAGGGCGCGUAGGUGGCCCGGUCAGUUCGUGGUGAAAGCGCGGGGCUCAACCCUGCGUCGGCCAUGAAUACUGCCGCGGCUGGAGCACUGUAGAGGCAGGCGGAAUUCCGGGUGUAGCGGUGGAAUGCGUAGAGAUCCGGAAGAACACCGGUGGCGAAGGCGGCCUGCUGGGCAGUGGCUGACACUGAGGCGCGACAGCGUGGGGAGCAAACAGG
This 254-nucleotide ribosomal RNA is filed under the name uncultured bacterium. Its description in RNAcentral is "partial 16S ribosomal RNA". It matches the Rfam family "Bacterial small subunit ribosomal RNA", at positions 524 to 776 of the family's 1533-position model. The record is from RNAcentral.